RNAcentral lists this ribosomal RNA (253 nucleotides) under uncultured bacterium. RNAcentral describes it as "partial 16S ribosomal RNA". It matches the Rfam family "Bacterial small subunit ribosomal RNA", at positions 524 to 776 of the family's 1533-position model. The record is from RNAcentral.
GACAGAGGGUGCAAACGUUGUUCGGAAUUACUGGGCGUAAAGCGCGUGUAGGCGGCUAUGCAAGUCGGGCGUGAAAUCCCACGGCUCAACCGUGGAAGUGCACUCGAAACUGCGUAGCUAGAGCCCCGGAGAGGAAGGUGGAAUACUUGGUGUAGAGGUGAAAUUCGUAGAUAUCAAGUGGAACACCGGUGGCGAAGGCGGCCUUCUGGACGGUGACUGACGCUGAGACGCGAAAGCGUGGGGAGCAAACAGG